AUUAAACUAAACGCAUAUUUUAGGAUAACAGUUUGGUGGGGCAAAAUCAUUUUAUUUCCUAUACAAUGGUUAAUGUGUAUAUAGCCGUGUGAUGUUAUUGCAGUUUAGAUUUGUUAGUUUUGUUAUUGUUAUAAAAUUGCAGCUGUAGUAUUGCAUAGAAACAUAGAGUGUGACGACAGAUAAGAACCAUUCGACCCAUCUAGUCUGCCCAAUUUUCUAAAUAUUUUAAUUAGUCCCUGGCCUUAUCUUGUAGGUAGGAUGUCCUUAUGCUAUCCCACGCAUGC
This is a non-coding RNA of Pelobates cultripes (western spadefoot toad), 284 nucleotides long. The record is from the annotation of a GenBank genome assembly. Lineage: Eukaryota; Metazoa; Chordata; Amphibia; Anura; Pelobatidae.